Molecule: transfer RNA, 68 nt
Filed under: Trichonephila clavata
Lineage: Eukaryota; Metazoa; Arthropoda; Arachnida; Araneae; Nephilidae
Description: tRNA-Thr
Source: RNAcentral
GCCAGUAUGGUGGUUAUGACACUCGGCUUGUAACCGAGUGGUCUCGGAUUUGAAUCCCGAAUGAGGCA